This 1453-nucleotide ribosomal RNA is filed under the name uncultured bacterium. Its description in RNAcentral is "bacterial SSU rRNA". It matches the Rfam family "Bacterial small subunit ribosomal RNA". The record is from RNAcentral.
GAUGAACGCUAGCUACAGGCUUAACACAUGCAAGUCGAGGGGCAGCAUGAACUUAGCUUGCUAAGUUUGAUGGCGACCGGCGCACGGGUGAGUAACACGUAUCCAACCUCCCGCAUACUCGGGAAUAGCCUUUCGAAAGAAAGAUUAAUGCCCGAUGGUUUCAAGGGAUUGCAUGGUAUCUUGAAUAAAGAUUCAUCGGUAUGCGAUGGGGAUGCGUUCCAUUAGGCAGUUGGCGGGGUAACGGCCCACCAAACCGACGAUGGAUAGGGGUUCUGAGAGGAAGGUCCCCCACAUUGGAACUGAGACACGGUCCAAACUCCUACGGGAGGCAGCAGUGAGGAAUAUUGGUCAAUGGGCGAGAGCCUGAACCAGCCAAGUAGCGUGAAGGAUGACUGCCCUACGGGUUGUAAACUUCUUUUAUAAGGGAAUAAAGUUCUCUACGUGUAGAGUUUUGUAUGUACCUUAUGAAUAAGCAUCGGCUAACUCCGUGCCAGCAGCCGCGGUAAUACGGAGGAUGCGAGCGUUAUCCGGAUUUAUUGGGUUUAAAGGGAGCGUAGACGGCGGUUUAAGUCAGCUGUGAAAUGGUGCGGCUCAACCGUAGCACUGCAGUUGAAACUGGACGGCUUGAGUGCAGUUGAGGCAGGCGGAAUUCGUGGUGUAGCGGUGAAAUGCUUAGAUAUCACGAAGAACCCCGAUUGCGAAGGCAGCCUGCUAAGCUGCAACUGACGUUGAUGCUCGAAAGUGUGGGUAUCAAACAGGAUUAGAUACCCUGGUAGUCCACACGGUAAACGAUGGAUACUCGCUGUUGGCGAUAUACUGUCAGCGGCCAAGUGAAAACGUUAAGUAUCCCACCUGGGGAGUACGCCGGCAACGGUGAAACUCAAAGGAAUUGACGGGGGCCCGCACAAGCGGAGGAACAUGUGGUUUAAUUCGAUGAUACGCGAGGAACCUUACCCGGGCUUGAACUGCAGUGGAAUUAUCCGGAAACGGAUAAGCGAGCAAUCGCCGCUGUGGAGGUGCUGCAUGGUUGUCGUCAGCUCGUGCCGUGAGGUGUCGGCUUAAGUGCCAUAACGAGCGCAACCCUUGCUGCCAGUUACUAACAGGUCAUGCUGAGGACUCUGGCAGGACUGCCAUCGUAAGAUGCGAGGAAGGUGGGGAUGACGUCAAAUCAGCACGGCCCUUACGUCCGGGGCUACACACGUGUUACAAUGGGGAGUACAGAGGGCAGCUACCGGGCGACCGGAUGCGAAUCCCGAAAGCUCCUCUCAGUUCGGACUGGAGUCUGCAACCCGACUCCACGAAGCUGGAUUCGCUAGUAAUCGCGCAUCAGCCACGGCGCGGUGAAUACGUUCCCGGGCCUUGUACACACCGCCCGUCAAGCCAUGAAAGCCGGGGGUACCUGAAGUACGUAACCGCGAGGAUCGUCCUAGGGUAAAACCGGUAAUUGGGGCUA